GACGAACGCUGGCGGCGUGCUUAACACAUGCAAGUCGAACGGAAAUGCCCUGCUUUUGUGGGGUGCUCGAGUGGCGAACGGGUGAGUAACACGUGAGUAACCUGCCCUUGACUUUGGGAUAACUUCAGGAAACUGGGGCCAAUACCGGAUAGGAGCUCCUGCUGCAUGGCGGGGGUUGGAAAGUUUCGGCGGUUGGGGAUGGACUCGCGGCUUAUCAGCUUGUUGGUGGGGUAGUGGCUUACCAAGGCUU
Molecule: ribosomal RNA, 250 nt
Filed under: uncultured Actinomycetes bacterium
Lineage: Bacteria; Bacillati; Actinomycetota; Actinomycetes
Description: uncultured actinobacterium partial 16S ribosomal RNA
Rfam family: Bacterial small subunit ribosomal RNA
Source: RNAcentral